UACUGCAGACGUGGCAAUCAUG
This 22-nucleotide microRNA is filed under the name Gorilla gorilla (western gorilla). Lineage: Eukaryota; Metazoa; Chordata; Mammalia; Primates; Hominidae. The record is from RNAcentral. RNAcentral also lists the same sequence under 2 other names.